Molecule: unclassified non-coding RNA, 309 nt
Organism: Vicugna pacos (alpaca)
Lineage: Eukaryota; Metazoa; Chordata; Mammalia; Artiodactyla; Camelidae
Gene: 7SK
Rfam family: 7SK RNA
About the family: 7SK was discovered as an abundant small nuclear RNA in the mid-70s but a possible function has only recently been suggested. Two independent studies have found that 7SK RNA binds the CDK9/cyclin T complex (known as elongation factor P-TEFb). P-TEFb activates transcription by phosphorylating the C-terminal domain of RNA polymerase II.
Source: Ensembl
GGAUGUGAGGCUGAUCUGACUGCAACAUCUGUCACUCCAUUGAUCACCGGGGUUGAUUCGGCUAAUCUGGCCAGUUAGUCAGCGCUCCCUGGGCAUGCCUCCCGAAGCUGCACUCGGUGGAUGAGGACGACCUUCCCUGAUGAAGGACAGUUGUUCUUCAGUCAAAGGUGUAUGAGUAGCUGUGGUCCCCUGCUAAAACCUCCAAACACGCUCUCAAGGUCUAUUUGUAUGAAAACAUAGGGUCGUCAAGCAUCCAAGACUCCAGACACAUCCAAAUGAUGCACUGCAUGUGGCAGUCUGCCUCUCCUC